CAGCCAGGGGAGCGAUUGCUGAGACUGAAUUCCCGAAAACGUUUUGGGGGUUCUGACCCUUACUACCUGACCCGGAUAAUACCGGCGGAGGGAGGCGGAGUAU
RNAcentral lists this non-coding RNA (103 nucleotides) under uncultured Eisenbergiella sp. Lineage: Bacteria; Bacillati; Bacillota; Clostridia; Lachnospirales; Lachnospiraceae. The record is from RNAcentral.